Molecule: long non-coding RNA, 231 nt
Organism: Anneissia japonica
Lineage: Eukaryota; Metazoa; Echinodermata; Crinoidea; Comatulida; Comatulidae
Exons: 3
Source: RefSeq, a predicted model, not a curated record
CAGUAGUUCAGUUCAGGAAUGUCACUUCUCCUUGGGACAGAUCCAACAGGAGUUUUCCCAGGAGUGUGAAGACAUGACGGAACAGAAAUUGAUUGAAGUAUAUGUUAAAUCAAAAGGCACAGGAAGAGAUAAGCUACCAUCUAUAGAAUUUGAAGAGUGCGACAUUUCAAAUAUUCCAAUUACUGAAACAAUUCAGAAAGAUAAAACGAAGAAAAAGAAGAAAGCCAAAAA